This is a long non-coding RNA of Leopardus geoffroyi (Geoffroy's cat), 2314 nucleotides long. RefSeq lists it as uncharacterized. The record is from RefSeq and is a predicted model, not a curated record. NCBI's taxonomy places the organism in Eukaryota, Metazoa, Chordata, Mammalia, Carnivora, Felidae. The transcript is spliced from 2 exons.
AUGGGGCUCGAACCCACGAACUGUGAGAUCAUGACCUGAGCCUGAGCCGAAGUUAGAUGCUUAACCGACCGAGCCCCCCAGGCGCCCCCAGCAUCUGUCUUUAUGCCCCAAUUUCCCAGCUCACAGACAGUGAGAGACACAUAACCUGUCUUUCUUCCCGCGUUGGGUUCGGAGACAAGGAAAUCGGACUAUCCUGCAAGUAUAAAUGCCCUCUGGCUCAGAGCUAACUCCUCCAGUGGUCAAAUUUGGGCCAAGGCCUGGGCAAACCAUAAAUGUUGCAAACACAGUGCUACCGGCACUCUUCAUGCAUUGAUGUAUUUAAUCCGUACAACAACCCACUCGUGGCUGUUAUCGUCACCACUACACAGACGAACUGAGAGGCACAGAGAGGUUCAAUAACUUUCCCAAGGCCACAGAGCUGGUAAGUGGAUUUAAACCCAGGCAGCUCUAGAGCUGGUCUCUUAGCCAGAGCCGAAGAGGUCUUGCCUCACCAAGGGUCCCUAUCCCCAGGGCUCCAUCACCCACACAUGCUCAUGACACUACCCAUGCCGCAGAAACAGCAUCCCAAGGUUAAAGGCAUCCAAUAAGAACCAUUUUGUCAUGCCGAGGGAUUCUGUGGGUCGAGACUUGCGUGGGGUAAACUGGGGAUGGAUGGCAGGCUCAGCGGGGAAGACGUGCGUCAUCCGGGGCUGGGGUCAUCUGGAGGCUUCCGGACUCUCAGUUCCCGGCCUGGGAUGACGAGAAGGCUGGGUUCGGCUGCGAUGUUAGUGGCGUGGGCUUCUCACAGCACGGUGACUGACACCUGAGCAGGAGCGAGCACGCCAAGGGGGAAUAUUCCAGGAGAACCAGGCAGAAGCUUCGGGACCUGUUCUGACCUAACCUCAGAAGUCCCGGGGCGUCGCUUACUGCCACGUGCUAUUAGUUACAAGGCAGCCGGAGGCUGGGAGAAAGAGACUCCAUUUCUCAGCAAGGGCGUGACAAGGUCACGUUGCAGGAGUGCCUGAGGGAGGGGAGAGAAUACUGUGGAAAACACAGCUUGCCUAGCCCGGGCCUGCCUACUGCAGAAACUUCUUUGCCCCAAUUUGAGUGACCUCAUCCUGAAGGUAUUCACUUCUCACUUUGGUUGUCUUGUUGUUCCUGUGAGUGAGGAACCACCUUUGACUGGUAAUGUGAGCAUUUUGCAGGUGGACUGGGUGACCCAAAAUGGCGACCCAACUAGAGAAGGCUCAACCGGUCCUGACAGCGGCCUCUGUCUCGUGUUGCGCCAGAGUCUUACCUGGUAGUUGGGCCAUAGAAGACAACGAUGGCACUACUUUUCAUCAGUACUGUACUACGCCUGACCGAAAACUCUUCUCCAGUUGUAUUGUUUGGGGACUCGUUGAGAACAUGGGUUCAAGGCCCAUCCACAGAGUCUGGUUGAAUUGUCUGGGGCCGGGAAGCAUUGAUUUUUUUUUUUUCUAGGGUCCACAGGUAAUGCUGUUGGACACCUGAGCUGGAGAACACCUGUCUUAGAUGAAGACCUUUGUGACUCUUGGCUUAGACCACCUUCUACCUCCAGAGGCCAAGUAGGGCAAGAUCAAAACGAAUGACGUAUCUGUUGAAGUGCUAGGGAGGCCACCUUCACUUUGACCAAGAACCUCUGGAUCCUGUUUGCUGCUGUCACUGGCCGUGUGGCCUUGGGCAAGUUAUUUUAACCUCUCAUGUGCAUCCCACCAUUUUGAAACACUCACCGCCACUAGAUGGGUUUUUCCAGGGAGUGAGGUUGCAUCCUGUUCCCAAUUCAGUAAUAACUGGGAGUAUUGCUGCAAAGCUUUGAAGCCUUCCCCACCCCACCUCAAACACACGCAUGUACACAAACACACACACACACACACACACACACACACACACACGCCUCUCUGGAUGGCCUCCUCACUCCCACAGGAUCCUACACAGAGUAGAUGCUCAAACCUUGCACCUUGGCUUGAGAUAACGUGGCUCUGAUCACCUGGGGUAGAAAGGGGCACAGCUGGCUUUGCUGAGGACACUCAGGAAACAUGCAGAGCUUCUGGGUCAUUGGAAUCUUCUAGAAGCUCACUUAGUCCCACAUGAGUCCCAGAUGAGUCUCCUCCUCAUCUUCUGCCAGGAAAUGAAGCUCUUCUCUUCCAGGGAAGGCUGUCAGUGCCAAGCUCACCUUUGCUCCAUUUGCAACCGCCCUGGGCAACUGGAGGCUGCACUGCCCCCUAGAGGCUUGGGGCAUUUUGUCCCCAAAGUUUUUAUGGUAGAGAUCCUUUUGUUUCUCUAACUUUUAAUACUAUAAAAUAUUUUCUUUUUA